This 92-nucleotide ribosomal RNA is filed under the name Carlito syrichta (Philippine tarsier). The record is from RNAcentral. Lineage: Eukaryota; Metazoa; Chordata; Mammalia; Primates; Tarsiidae.
GUCUAUAGCCACACCAUCUUGAAUGCUCCCAAUCUUGUCUGAUCUUAGGAACUAAGCAGGGUCAGGCCUAAUUAACUCUUGAACUGGAGAAA